This 492-nucleotide ribosomal RNA is filed under the name uncultured bacterium. RNAcentral's name for it is "partial 16S ribosomal RNA". It matches the Rfam family "Bacterial small subunit ribosomal RNA", at positions 29 to 507 of the family's 1533-position model. The record is from RNAcentral.
AGUGAACGCUGGCGGUAGGCCUAACACAUGCAAGUCGAACGGCAGCACAGUAAGAGCUUGCUCUUACGGGUGGCGAGUGGCGGACGGGUGAGGAAUACAUCGGAAUCUACUUUUUCGUGGGGGAUAACGUAGGGAAACUUACGCUAAUACCGCAUACAACCUACGGGUGAAAGCAGGGGAUCUUCGGACCUUGCGCGACUGAAUGAGCCGAUGUCGGAUUAGCGAGUUGGCGGGGUAAAGGCCCACCAAGGCGACGAUCCGAAGCUGGUCUGAGAGGAGGAUCAGCACAACGGAAACUGAGCCACGGCCAAGACUCCAACGGGAGGAAGCAGUGGGGAAUAUUGGAAAAAGGGCGAAAGCUUGAUCCAGCAAGACCGCGUGGGUGAAGAAGGCCUUCGGGUUGUAAAGUCCUUUUGUCGGGAAAGAAAAGCAGAAGGUUAAUACCAAGCUGUUUUGACGGUACCCAAAGAAUAAGCAACGGCUAACUUCGUG